This 329-nucleotide ribosomal RNA is filed under the name uncultured eukaryote. RNAcentral describes it as "partial 18S ribosomal RNA". It matches the Rfam family "Eukaryotic small subunit ribosomal RNA", at positions 1470 to 1796 of the family's 1831-position model. The record is from RNAcentral.
CCCUUAGAUGUUCCGGGCCGCACGCGCGCUACACUGAGUGUCUGAGAUACGAGUCUGCCUGGUCCGGCAAGGUCUAGGUAAUCGCUAAAAGACACAUCAUGCUUGGGAUAGAUUAUUGCAAAUAUUAAUCUUGAACGAGGAAUUCCUAGUAAGCGCAAGUCAACAGCUUGCGUUGAUUACGUCCCUGCCCUUUGUACACACCGCCCGUCGCUACUACUGAUUGGAUGUUUAAGCGAGGUUCUCGAACUGCUAGCGACUUAGCUUCGGUGAGGUCGCAGUGUGGGAAGUGAACCUAGCUUUGGUGUCUAGAGGAAGUAAAAGUCGUAACA